AGCGCCUCACGAGAAACCUCCAUUCACAAUUGGAGACUUAAAGAAAGCCAUUCCACCUCAUUGCUUCCAAAAGUCUCUCAUUACAUCUUUCCGGUACCUUAUUCAGGAUCUUCUCAUGGCCUACUCCCUCUAUUAUGUGGCCACCAACUAUAUCGACCUCCUUCCUCGUCCCCUCAACUAUUUGGGUUGGGCUGCUUACAUUGCUGUUCAAGGCUGUGUCCUUACUGGGGCUUGGGUCGUUGGCCACGAAUGUGAUCACCAUGCAUUUAGUGAAUAUCAAUGGGUUGAUGACCUUGUUGGCCUUGUUGUCCACUCUUCACUCAUGGUCCCAUAUUUCUCUUGGAAAAUAAGUCACCGUCGUCACCAUGCCAACACGCAGUCCCUUGACAACGACGAGGUAUAUGUCCCAAGAUUUAAGUCUAAUAUCCGAAACUAUUACAAGAUCCUCAACAAUCCACCUGGUCGAGUCUUUGUGUGGGUUACUACACUUCUUAUAGGUUUUCCUUUAUACUUGAUGUUCAAUGUAUCCGGACACAAGUACGAGAGGUGGACCUCCCACUACGAUCCCCAUAGCCCACUUUACUCUGACCGUGAACGUAAAGAGAUCAUUAUUUCUGAUGUUGCUAUUCUUGCAGUAAUCUAUGGAUUAUA
This 651-nucleotide long non-coding RNA is filed under the name Panax ginseng (ginseng). Its description in RNAcentral is "long non-coding RNA (PGIN_LNC016804)". Lineage: Eukaryota; Viridiplantae; Streptophyta; Magnoliopsida; Apiales; Araliaceae. The record is from RNAcentral.